Molecule: ribosomal RNA, 530 nt
Filed under: uncultured eukaryote
Lineage: Eukaryota
Description: SSU rRNA
Rfam family: Eukaryotic small subunit ribosomal RNA
Source: RNAcentral
UAGUCAUAUGCUUGUCUCAAAGAUUAAGCCAUGCAUGUCUAAGCACAAGCCGAUUAAUGGUGAAGCCGCGAAUGGCUCAUUACAACAGCCAUAGUUUCUUAGAUCUUACUUUCCUACUUGGAUAACUGUGGUAAUUCUAGAGCUAAUACACGCAUGAAAGCUCUGACCGUUUGGGAGGAGCGCAUUUAUUAGAACAAAACCAAUCGGGCCUUCGGGCCCGCCAAUUGGUGAAUCUGAAUAACUUUGCAGAUCGCACGGUCUCGUACCGGCGACGUAUCUUUCAAAUGUCUGCCUUAUCAACUUUAGAUGGUAGUUUACACGCCUACCAUGGUUGUAACGGGUAACGGAGAAUAAGGGUUCGACUCCGGAGAGGGAGCCUGAGAAAUGGCUACCACAUCCAAGGAAGGCAGCAGGCACGCAAAUUACCCACUCCCGGCACGGGGAGGUAGUGACGAAAAAUAACGAGGCGGUUCUCUACGAGGCCCGCCAUCGGAAUGGGUACAAUUUAAAUCCUUUAACGAGGAUCUAUU